This 511-nucleotide ribosomal RNA is filed under the name uncultured Enterobacterales bacterium. Its description in RNAcentral is "bacterial SSU rRNA". It matches the Rfam family "Bacterial small subunit ribosomal RNA", at positions 30 to 528 of the family's 1533-position model. Lineage: Bacteria; Pseudomonadati; Pseudomonadota; Gammaproteobacteria; Enterobacterales. The record is from RNAcentral.
AUUGAACGCUGGCGGCAGACCUAACACAUGCAAGUCGAACGGUAGCACAGAGGAGCUUGCUCCUUGGGUGACGAGUGGCGGACGGGUGAGUAAUGUCUGGGAAACUGCCCGAUGGAGGGGGAUAACUACUGGAAACGGUAGCUAAUACCGCAUAACGUCGCAAGACCAAAGAGGGGGACCUUCGGGCCUCUUGCCAUCGGAUGUGCCCAGAUGGGAUUAGCUAGUAGGUGGGGUAACGGCUCACCUAGGCGACGAUCCCUAGCUGGUCUGAGAGGAUGACCAGCCACACUGGAACUGAGACACGGUCCAGACUCCUACGGGAGGCAGCAGUGGGGAAUAUUGCACAAUGGGCGCAAGCCUGAUGCAGCCAUGCCGCGUGUAUGAAGAAGGCCUUCGGGUUGUAAAGUACUUUCAGCGAGGAGGAAGGCGUUGUGGUUAAUAACCGCAACGAUUGACGUUACUCGCAGAAGAAGCACCGGCUAACUCCGUGCCAGCCGCCGCGGUAAAAGGG